RNAcentral lists this ribosomal RNA (462 nucleotides) under uncultured bacterium. RNAcentral's name for it is "partial 16S ribosomal RNA". It matches the Rfam family "Bacterial small subunit ribosomal RNA", at positions 28 to 507 of the family's 1533-position model. The record is from RNAcentral.
GACGAACGCUGGCGGCGUGCUUAACACAUGCAAGUCGAGCGGAAAGGCCCUUCGUGGUACUCGAGCGGCGAACGGGUGAGUAACACGUAAGUAACCUGCCCCAGCCUUUGGGAUAACCCUCGGAACCGGGAGCUAAUACCGGAUACGACACAGCUUCGCAUGGGGUCUGUGUGGAAAGUUUUUCGGCUUGGGAUGGGCUCGCGGCCUAUCAGCUUGUUGGUGGGGUGGUGGCCUACCAAGGCGACGACGGGUAGCCGGCCUGAGAGGGUGACCGGCCACACUGGGACUGAGACACGGCCCAGACUCCUACGGGAGGCAGCAGUGGGGAAUAUUGCACAAUGGGCGGAAGCCUGAUGCAGCGACGCCGCGUGCGGGAUGACGGCCUUCGGGUUGUAAACCGCUUUCGGCAGUGACGAAGCGUAAGUGACGGUACCUGCUGAAGAAGCGCCGGCCAACUACGUG